GAUGAACGCUGGCGGCGUGCCUAAUACAUGCAAGUCGAGCGAACAGACGAGGAGCUUGCUCCUCUGACGUUAGCAGCGGACGGGUGAGUAACACGUGGAUAACCUACCUAUAAGACUGGGAUAACUUCGGGAAACCGGAGCUAAUACCGGAUAAUAUAUUGAACCGCAUGGUUCAAUAGUGAAAGACGGUUUUGCUGUCACUUAUAGAUGGAUCCGCGCCGCAUUAGCUAGUUGGUAAGGUAACGGCUUACCAAGGCAACGAUGCGUAGCCGACCUGAGAGGGUGAUCGGCCACACUGGAACUGAGACACGGUCCAGACUCCUACGGGAGGCAGCAGUAGGGAAUCUUCCGCAAUGGGCGAAAGCCUGACGGAGCAACGCCGCGUGAGUGAUGAAGGUCUUCGGAUCGUAAAACUCUGUUAUUAGGGAAGAACAAAUGUGUAAGUAACUAUGCACGUCUUGGCGGUACCUAAUCAGAAAGCCACGGCUAACUACGUG
This 497-nucleotide ribosomal RNA is filed under the name uncultured bacterium. RNAcentral describes it as "partial 16S ribosomal RNA". It matches the Rfam family "Bacterial small subunit ribosomal RNA", at positions 28 to 507 of the family's 1533-position model. The record is from RNAcentral.